CCUACGGGUGGCAGCAGUGAGGAAUAUUGGUCAAUGGCCGGAAGGCUGAACCAGCCAUGCCGCGUGAAGGUCAGUGCCCUAUGGGCGUUAAACUUCUUUUGUGCGGGAGCAAUAAUGGUCACGUGUGGCCAGACGAGAGUACCGUACGAAUAAGCAUCGGCUAACUCCGUGCCAGCAGCCGCGGGAAUACGGGGGAUGCAAGCGUUAUCCGGAUUUAUUUGGUUUAAAGGGUGCGUAGCCGGGCUGACAAGUCAGAUGUGAAAUCCGGGGGGUCAACCCCCGAACUGCAUUUGAAACUGUUGGUCUUGAGUAUCGGAGAGGCAGGCGGAAUGCCUAGUGUAGCGGUGAAAUGCGUAGAUAUUAGGAGGAACGCCAGUGGCGAAGGCGGCCUGCUGGACGACAACUGACGGUGAGGCGCGAAAGCGUGGGGAGCAAACAGGAUUAGAUACCCCAGUAGUC
RNAcentral lists this ribosomal RNA (459 nucleotides) under uncultured bacterium. Its description in RNAcentral is "partial 16S ribosomal RNA". It matches the Rfam family "Bacterial small subunit ribosomal RNA", at positions 338 to 795 of the family's 1533-position model. The record is from RNAcentral.